Long non-coding RNA from Gallus gallus (chicken), 354 nucleotides. NCBI's taxonomy places the organism in Eukaryota, Metazoa, Chordata, Aves, Galliformes, Phasianidae. The record is from Ensembl.
CAAAAAAUGAACCACAGCCUGCUCUGAUCUGGUGACACUGAGAGACUGGUGGGACAGAAUAAAUCAGAAGGAAACUCAGCCAUUCUUCUUCUGAAAUAUGACAGAAAAUGCUGAGGAAGUUGCCUGAUGCAAAUACCUAUCAUAAAUACCCCUGGGCCUUUUUUUUCUUUUCAUGUGGAAGAUGAAGCAAAGACAGAAAAGGAAAACUAAAAGUAAAAGGUUGGCUGCAUUGCUAAAAUCUGGAUCGUCACUUUUUAAGUACUUGCUUAAAGAUGUUUUCACACAUACAUCAUGAUCAUUAUCACGUAAGGAAGCUAAGUAUGAAUUUGGGAAUAGAACAAAAUUUAUCAGUGG